Molecule: long non-coding RNA, 1707 nt
Filed under: Equus caballus (horse)
Lineage: Eukaryota; Metazoa; Chordata; Mammalia; Perissodactyla; Equidae
Description: lncRNA (ENSECAG00000051500.1)
Source: RNAcentral
GUACACAGUUGUAUAUCUUAGUUGCAUGUCCUUCUAGUUGUGGGAUGUGGGAUGCCGCCUCAAUGUGGCCUGACGAGCAGUGCCACGUCCGCGCCCGUGAUCCGACCCCGGGGCCGCCCGCAGCGGAGCGCGAGAACUUAACCACUUGGCCACGGAGCCGGGCCCUGUAAGGACCUCACAAGGACCAGGUGAAAAAGAUUUACAAUCAGCCAAGGUGGAAGGUCUAAUAAGAGCUUCUCCCCCAUCAAGACAAGACUUGGAAAGGGAAUACACCUCAGUGUCAAGUGAACUAGAUAUAACUUCCGCACCUGGGACUGCAAUAAAAACUACCUGAAACACUAUUCCUGAGCCUGGCGGAGGUUGGUCGUUGGAGCUGAUGAGGAGACAGAUAGCACCUUAGCUACAGAGAAGAAGAAAGAAGUGCUUUCAGGUGACAUUUCGUUUUGGAAAGAGUCUGGAAAUAUAGAAGUCUGAUGGUUUUUCUGAGCAACGCUAAGCAGAAUUGCUUUCACCACGUUAUCUUUUCUUAAACCAACUUAGUCCAGUAGGAGUUAGGAUACCGGAGUUUGCUUCUGGUUAUGUCCCUGACGCUUACAAGUCACCAACUUAUUCUUACUUACAGUUACUCCAUGUAUGCAAGUAAAAAACAGAUCUGCCCAUCAAUCAAAGGGGAUUUCUGAGCCAUUGUUGACCUGAGACCAGGGUGUUUCAACCUCCACUUUGGAGAGAAUGUUCACAUGUUCAGUUCCAGGCCUUAGCUAAAAGGCAAGAAAUGCAGACUGCUCUACUCAGGAGAGAACUCACGUAUUCAAAGAGGACAGCUGGAGGCACACGCCAAAUUCAAAGUGGGACCCUAAAUGGACAAAAGGCUUUGAACAUCUUUAAAGCUUUGGAUACACAAUGAUGAAGUGUUGGAUUUUGACAGGCCCCAAUAAGUAGUACCCUUCGUUAUGGCCAAUAUCUAAAGCAAUAGAGAUAUAAAACAAGGAAGAAGACAAAUGGAGACCAAAAUAUCACUGUUACCACUGAUAAAUCUGAUAUUAGAGAACAUGCUUAUAUCUUCAGGAAAAUAUGCUUCUUAUAAUGAUCUCUUCAAUUAAACCCAAGAGAGGCCUCUCCUUCACACCAGGAGGACUGGAGUAGAACGUGGGCUCCAGGUGAAUGGUUUGAUUCACAAGGAAGAAAAAGGAACAGGGAUGGUUUGUGCAUGCCCAAUUUAUCCUUUGAAACUCUCCUAUCAGCUUGUUGACUUUCUGAGUUGUUAUUGAGAGUUUCAACCACAACCUGACUGUCACUGGAGAGGAGAAGAUGAGAAAAGGAUUUAAUAAAGGUAGCAUGGGAAGAAGGAGGGAGAAGAGGAGUGGAAAGAUAAGGAGGAGAGAAAAACAUGCCCACCGGCCCAUGGCUAACAGGACCACAGGUGGCCACCUGACACGUGGUGAUCCAGUCAGUUUUUCUUUCCAUGAAGAAUUUAGAAUGGGGAGUUAGAAAGAGAAGUGUUCUAGAUAUCCAUAGGAAAUUCCAAAAAUUGGCAACAGGGCCUGAUACCAGUUCUGCACAGUUAAUGGAGGCAGCCUUCAGGAUAGUCAAUAACCAGGACAAGGAAGAAGAGAAAAAGGAUGAUAAAAAGGUACAAAGACAAGCAACUUUGCUUCCAUUGGCCCUCCAGUCUGCUCAAGGUAACCCAGGGGAGAGGUGAGUGACCCG